RNAcentral lists this ribosomal RNA (254 nucleotides) under uncultured bacterium. RNAcentral describes it as "partial 16S ribosomal RNA". It matches the Rfam family "Bacterial small subunit ribosomal RNA", at positions 524 to 777 of the family's 1533-position model. The record is from RNAcentral.
UACAGAGGGGGCGAGCGUUGUUCGGAAUUACUGGGCGUAAAGGGCGCGUAGGCGGCCUGCUAAGUCGGACGUGAAAUCCCUCGGCUCAACCGGGGAACUGCGUCCGAUACUGGUUGGCUUGAAUUCGGGAGAGGGAUGCGGAAUUCCAGGUGUAGCGGUGAAAUGCGUAGAUAUCUGGAGGAACACCGGUGGCGAAGGCGGCAUCCUGGACCGAGAUUGACGCUGAUGCGCGAAAGCCAGGGGAGCAAAGCGGG